This 351-nucleotide ribosomal RNA is filed under the name uncultured bacterium. Its description in RNAcentral is "bacterial SSU rRNA". It matches the Rfam family "Bacterial small subunit ribosomal RNA", at positions 18 to 344 of the family's 1533-position model. The record is from RNAcentral.
CAUGGCUCAGGACGAACGCUGGCGGCGUGCGUAACACAUGCAAGUCGAACGAGAGAGUGAGAGAAGCUUGCUUUUCUUAUGAUCGAGUGGCAAACGGGUGAGUAACGCGUAAACAACCUGCCCCGCAGAUGGGGACAACAGCUGGAAACGGCUGCUAAUACCGAAUACGCUCCUCUUAGCGCAUGGUAAGAGGAAGAAAGGGUGGCCUCUGGAACAAGCUACCGCUGUGGGAGGGGUUUGCGUCUGAUUAGCUGGUUGGAGGGGUAACGGCCCACCAAGGCGACGAUCAGUAGCCGGUCUGAGAGGAUGAACGGCCACAUUGGAACUGAGACACGGUCCAGACUCCUACGG